CGGACGGGUGAGUAACACGUGGAUAACCUACCUAUAAGACUGGGAUAACUUCGGGAAACCGGAGCUAAUACCGGAUAAUAUAUUGAACCGCAUGGUUCAAUAGUGAAAGACGGUUUUGCUGUCACUUAUAGAUGGAUCCGCGCCGCAUUAGCUAGUUGGUAAGGUAACGGCUUACCAAGGCAACGAUGCGUAGCUGACCUGAGAGGGUGAUCGGCCACACUGGAACUGAGACACGGUCCAGACUCCUACGGGAGGCAGCAGCC
RNAcentral lists this ribosomal RNA (263 nucleotides) under uncultured Staphylococcus sp. RNAcentral describes it as "partial 16S ribosomal RNA". It matches the Rfam family "Bacterial small subunit ribosomal RNA", at positions 99 to 355 of the family's 1533-position model. The record is from RNAcentral. Lineage: Bacteria; Bacillati; Bacillota; Bacilli; Caryophanales; Staphylococcaceae.